RNAcentral lists this ribosomal RNA (345 nucleotides) under uncultured bacterium. RNAcentral's name for it is "bacterial SSU rRNA". It matches the Rfam family "Bacterial small subunit ribosomal RNA", at positions 8 to 349 of the family's 1533-position model. The record is from RNAcentral.
AGAGUUUGAUCAUGGCUCAGGACGAACGCUGGCGGCGCGCCUAACACAUGCAAGUCGAACGAGCGAGAGAGAGCUUGCUUUCUCGAGCGAGUGGCGAACGGGUGAGUAACGCGUGAGGAACCUGCCUCAAAGAGGGGGACAACAGUUGGAAACGACUGCUAAUACCGCAUAAGCCCACAGGUCGGCAUCGACCAGGGGGAAAAGAGCAAUCCGCUUUGAGAUGGCCUCGCGUCCGAUUAGCUAGUUGGUGAGGUAAUGGCCCACAAGGCAACGAUCGGUAGCCGGACUGAGGGGUUGAACGGCCACAUUGGGACUGAGACACGGCCCAGACUCCGUACGGGAGCA